Molecule: long non-coding RNA, 1625 nt
Organism: Ipomoea triloba (trilobed morning glory)
Lineage: Eukaryota; Viridiplantae; Streptophyta; Magnoliopsida; Solanales; Convolvulaceae
Exons: 2
Source: RefSeq, a predicted model, not a curated record
GUUUUUGGACUUUAUUGCAUCAAAAUUAAUUGUUGAUGAGUAUAAUUGGAUAUUUAAAAAGUUGCUAAUUGACUUUUCAUACAAUUUGAGGGUCCAUUUGACCCAUUUUCUCAAUUUGAUUCAUCAGUUAAAGGCGGAAACCCUAGCUGGAGAAAGCUGCCUGUGCUAUAUAUACCACAUACAUUCUGCAAGUCUGCCGCAGAACAACCUACACCCUCCGCUUCCGACUCAACUCUUCGCUCUCAUAGGCAUAGCUACCCGAUCUCUGUGUACUUAUUCGACGCACACACAACAUAACGCCAUUUCAUAGUUCUCUAUAAAAAAGUAAACACAAAUGAGGCAACUUUGCCGAGGUGAUUGAUUUUGUGUUGAUUCCCUCUUUUCCCUGUUGCCUAUAUUCUCUGUGGUCAAGCUUGGAGCUACAAAAGUUGUUGAACUGUAUAAGUGUUGACACCAUCCAUCUCUAGCGUGACUAUAUUGUAUUAUCACUUUUCAUUCGAAAAGAAUUUUUUUUAUUCUUUUUGUUUGUAUCAGGGUGUUAAGCUUUUUAUUGUUGAAGUAUGAUUCUCUAUGUGAUGAUGAUAUGUAUGGCUAUGGAUUUGUAUCCAAUGAAGCUUUCUUUUUGUCAUAGUUACACUGAUAGGGAAUCAUAUUCAUAGUACCAUUUGCCCUGUUUCUUUUUCUUUCAGCCCAAAAUGUGGUCCAAUUCCACUUCUGUGUUCAAACUUUGAUAGAAACAAUGAUGUUUUUGUAAGCAAGUCAGCUUCUUUGUUCAGAUUCUGAGAUAUCCCGAUCUGGACAAUUGUUUUACUCAAAACUUGCAAUAUGAAAUCCAGUGUCACUCACCUGAAUCUGAAUAUUUGCCCUGAUGUUUCAGGCCCUUUGUUACUGGUACAUUCUUCAUAGACAUGUAGCAAAAUGUUAGUUCUUUGAUUGGAUUGGACAUGGUUGAUACAAAAGAUGGGAAUAGAGUUGCAGUUUGAGAAAGCAAACACACUCUGUCCCUAGACAAAUGAUAAAUGUCUUGAGGCAAUUUCUUGGUUUGCAACAUUAAUGGAGUUUUCACUUCAGCUUUCCAAUUUACUCGCCCACAAGAUCUAUCAUUUUCUUUGAUCUUGUUGGGCACAUGGUUGGAUUACAUCCCCACUGUUUUUAUGAUAUUUUUCUUCCUCCUUCCUUUCCUAUUAAGCAAAUAGCCUAUAAUAGGAGAAACAACGACAAGGUAAAUCGAAGCAAAACAAAUUUAACAAUAUAUUUUGAAUUAAUUGAUCAGUUGUAUCUAUAUGUGGUGGUGAAAGCUUUGUUAGAUGCUAUGGAGGUUUGAUCAUUUUCUAUGGGCAUUGAGUUGGAAUCAAUAUUGGUGUAGUUAUUCUGGCUUUCAACCUGGUAUGAAGAUGUCUUAGACCAUAUGGACGCUCUGAUAAUGUCAUUUAUUGUUUUCAUCAUCAGCUUUGAAUCGAGUUCUUAUUUCUUUUUUGUACAUAUAAUACAAGAUUUAAAUGUAGUACUUGUACAAGAUUGUAACAUAUCCGUGUAAAUCCUAUACUUAUUUGGUAUUUUUAUUAUCUGAUUUUGGUAUUAUCUCCAUGCAAUAUUAAUACAAGUUCUACAACAAUAUUUGAUCA